UUUUUAUGCUUCUGAUAUUUAUUGUUUUACGAUUCUGAGCUAAACAAUCAAACAGGGAAACCCCAUCUCUUUAAUUACUUAUUUGUAAUAUUGCAGUCUGUUGUUGUAUGUGUAGGAUUUUCCAGUUGAAAACCUUUCAGGUUUUUGAAAAUUAGUUUUGUUGUGGUUUAUUUUUUCUGAAAAUUGAGGAUUUAGUGUUGAGAACUAGAAAAUUAAGAUUCCAUUGCAUUAUAAAUUAAGUUGGAAUUGGACUGAAUGAUUUUGUAAGUGCAAAAGUUGGCGAUUCCAUGAGUUGGAGUUAUAAGACAAGGUUGCUGAAAAAUUUUCAGCAGUCACUGGAAAAUGGAAACUGAGAUGUAGGAUGGUUUGGAGAGGCUAAAUUAGUGAGUGAAAAGUAGGGAGGAUAUGUAGAAGUUUGGGAUUGUGUUGAUGUAGUGGAGGGAUGAGUUUACGGCUAGAUUACACGAAGAAAAAAUAGAGGUUUUUGGCUGUGAACAGUGCCUCAGGCUCUGUACCUGUAGGACGAAGUUUUGAGCCCACACACACACACAUCCCCAACAAUGUUCUCACAAAGUUACCUCAAAUUCUCAUAAAUUAACCACUCAAAAAGGCAAAGAAAAUAACAAGGUUACAUAAGCAAGCAUAGAGACUAAAAGAUUUUAAAUUAUAUAUAACUAAUAAACUCUAAAUCCCUAAAUAAAAAUAUUUCAUAUUAAGUAACAUAUUUACUAUAUAGAAAGGAAAUCCCUGACUACCAAGGACACUUUCCCCUUGGCCAAUAUGUCCCUUUUCUUGUUUUAGAUUUAUGGCUUUCAUAUUACGUUCCAAAUUGGGUAUUUCCUUUGGCUUAAUAUAUGAAUUUGUUCUUGAAAUUACAUGAAACGCCUAUUGCCCCUUAUACUGUUUUUUGGACCUAUUAUUCACCUCACCUUUGAUUCUUGUAAGCAAUGAACUCCUAAUUUUUCUCAUUUGGUUAUUUAGGCUGGAGAUUUUGCUUACAGAUUUCUUAUGGCAAUGAUAAUGUUUUGGUUUCAUUUAUUGCUCCCUUAAUUUGUACUAAAUUUUGGGGAGAGAGAGAGAGAGAUAUGUAAAGUUCCUGCAAUGCCAAAUUAAAAAUGCUUUACCUAUCAUACUUUAUUGUAACGUUAGCAUGCUGAUGUAUAGCACCAAUUUAUGACUGCUUAAGGAUUUAUUGUUUACAAAACUAGAAGGUUGGGGGCAUAAUAGUUUCUGGUAAAGGAAAUGAGGGUCAGGUGAUAAAGUAUAGAGGCAAAUUUGUGUAUUAAUCAUAUUUCCUUUCAUAUUAAUUAUCUCCCUCCAAAAAGGAAACCAGGUUUGUCGAGUUAAAUGUUCUAGAUGCUUGUUCAAGAAUGCCAUCUCCAUGCUCAAUGUGCUUUGCCAAGAAAAGAGGCAGCUUUCCUUUCAAGUUUAAUAGGUUAAGAGUCUUUAGCAGAAACAUAUUUUAUUGCAAGGUCACUAUGCUUGAAAGAAUAUAUAUUAUUGCAGCCACUAUGUUGAACCUUCUUUUCAUUUGAUCACAGGGCAGUGCACCAUCUAUUUUUCUCGUAGAAUUUGUUGAUCAUAAUGAUAAAUCAAGUUUCAUAGCCCCUUAUAUUUGAUGGAAAAUUUCCAGUUGCAGAAUUAUUCUUUCCUUAAAACAUCUUCUUUUACCCAGGAUUUGGAUGCGACACUUCUGCAGUGAUUAAUAUAUUGGCUCAUCGAGAUUCAACACAACGAAUGCUCAUUCAACAGGAGUACAAGACUAUGUACUCUGGGGACCUUCUUAAGCGUUUGUCUUCAGAGCUUAGUGGCAAAUUGGAGACAGCAGUUCUGCUUUGGAUGCAUGAUCCACCUGGGCGUGAUGCAAUAAUCGUGAAGCAGGGAUUAAGUUCGGACACAUUAAAUCUUGAAGCUGCCACUGAAGUAAUUUGUUCGCGCACCCCAUCUCAGAUACAGACAUUUAAACAACAUUACCAUGCAAAAUUUGGGGUGCACCUUGAGCAUGAUAUUGAAUCACAUGCCUCUGGGGAUCAUAAACAGGUAAAUUCUUUCUCUAUUUUCAUAUUAGCCAGUUUUGCCUCCAAAGCUUUUGAGCUUAGCCUUUUUAGUUGCUCUGUUUUGGGUAACAUUUUAAUUCGCCAUAUUUAGCUUGUAUUUUCAAAUGAUAGUUUUGUUUUCUUUUGUUGCUCUAAAGCAAUGGUUUGUAAUACAUAUCUUAUGGUAAACUUUUGGGAAUUAAUCAUAUAUUCUGUUGUCCCAAUUUGACCUUCUAGUUCUUUAUUUGAUAUUGGUAUAACUUUAUAAUUGUAAUAACAGCUGUUUGACUUAGGGUUAUUUGCUAGUACCAGCUUCAUUUUGCUUGUGAAUGCUUUUUUUUGCUUCCUAUUCCGUGUUUGGUAUGAUGUUUCAUCUAUGAAAAGUGUUUGUUGCAAUGGUUAUCGGAGACAAAAUAAUUAAUUUGGAAUUUCAGUAACUUUUAUUUAUAGCAGAAGGCAAGAUAUGAAAUGUCCAUUGGUUGCACCAUGGAAAGAAUAAUUGGACAGGCAAUCUACUCUAUAUUUUCUAUUUUUGUGAUUGAGGAUAUUCAUUCCUCGAAGUGCAGAUCUUCUUAGUGAUGUUAUACUAAUCCUUGUAAGAUAAUGCCUUUUAUCUCAUGUUCUUAUGAAACUGAUUUUCCUAUUUUAAAUUUACUCUUUCUCUAGCCGUCUAAUUUUUUUGCAUGUUUCUUUUUUGUUUGCUCUUGUUCAUGGAAAGACAUUGAAUUUUGCUGUAUAUUUUUGUAAAAAUACUUGAUUCAGCUCUUGCUUGCAUAUGUGAGUGUACCUCGCUAUGAAGGCCGGGAAUUUGAUAAUCAGAUGGCUCAGAAUGAUGCAAAGGCUCUUUAUAAAGCAGGAGAGAAGAAAUUGGGAACUGAUGAAAAGACUUUCAUCCGCAUAUUUAGUGAACGAAGUGCUGCACAUUUGGCUGCUGUAAAUUCUGCUUAUCAUAACAUGUAUGGAAACUCUCUGAAAA
This 3012-nucleotide unclassified non-coding RNA is filed under the name Hevea brasiliensis (rubber tree). The record is from RNAcentral. Lineage: Eukaryota; Viridiplantae; Streptophyta; Magnoliopsida; Malpighiales; Euphorbiaceae.